AUAAAACUGUGCUACUGAGAUUUAUGAGAAGCCAAGAUAUGCACACCUGAAACUUGUUUCAAAAAUCCAUAUGUCAACUUGCAGAAGAGAAGCUGUGAUAAAGAUUCAGAUGGAAAUGAUAUGGUCAUGGAAGGAGUAGAAAGGACAAAGUCACCAUCAACUAAGCACUGAGAAACAGCCAAAUUCCAAUGUCUUCCAUUCUGACCAUCACAGUCAUCAUAUGAAACUUGCUUUUCAGGU
RNAcentral lists this long non-coding RNA (240 nucleotides) under Mus spicilegus (steppe mouse). RNAcentral's name for it is "lncRNA (ENSMSIG00000028347.1)". The record is from RNAcentral. Lineage: Eukaryota; Metazoa; Chordata; Mammalia; Rodentia; Muridae.